GACGAACGCUGGCGGCGUGCUUAACACAUGCAAGUCGAACGGAAAGGCCCUGCUUUUGUGGGGUUCUCGAGUGGCGAACGGGUGAGUAACACGUGAGUAACCUGCCCUUGUCUUUGGGAUAACUUCAGGAAACUCGGGCUAAUACCGGAUAGGAUCUCCUGCUGCAUGGUGUGGGUUGGUAAGUUUCGGCGGUUGGGGAUGGACUCGCGGCUUAUCAGCUUGUUGGUGGGGUAGUGGCUUUCCAAGGCUUUGACGGGUAGCCGGCCUGAGAGGGUGACCGGCCACAAUGGGACUGCGAUACGGCCCAGACUCCUACGGGAGGCAGCAGUGGGGAAUAUUGCACAAUGGGCGGAAGCCUGAUGCAGCAACGCCGCGUGCGGGAUGACGGCCUUCGGGUUGUAAACCGAUUUCGCAUGUGACGAAGCGUGAGUGACGGUAAUGGGUAAAGAAGCACCGGCUAACUACGUG
RNAcentral lists this ribosomal RNA (468 nucleotides) under uncultured bacterium. RNAcentral describes it as "partial 16S ribosomal RNA". It matches the Rfam family "Bacterial small subunit ribosomal RNA", at positions 28 to 507 of the family's 1533-position model. The record is from RNAcentral.